This 490-nucleotide ribosomal RNA is filed under the name uncultured bacterium. Its description in RNAcentral is "partial 16S ribosomal RNA". It matches the Rfam family "Bacterial small subunit ribosomal RNA", at positions 30 to 507 of the family's 1533-position model. The record is from RNAcentral.
AUUGAACGCUGGCGGCGGGCCUAACACAUGCAAGUCGAACGGUAACAGGAAGAAGCUUGCUUCUUGGCGUACGCGUGGCGGGCGUGUGAGUCAUGUCUGGGAAACUGCUUGAUGGCGGGGGAUAACUACUGGAAACGGUAGCUAAUACCGCAUAACUUCGCAAGACCAAAGAGGGGUACCGUCGGGCCUCUUUCCAUCGGAUGUGCCCGGAUGGGAUUAGCUAGUAGGUGGGGUAACGGCUCACCUAGGCCACGAUCCCUAGCUGGUCUGAGAGGAUGACCAGCCACACUGGAACUGAGACACGGACCAGACUCCUACGGGAGGCAGCAGUGGGGAAUCUUGCGCAAUGGGCGAAAGCCUGAUGGAGCCAUGCCGCGUGUGUGAAGAAGGUCUUCGGAUUGUAAAGUUCUUUUAGCAGGGAGGAAGGAAGUAAUGUUAAAACAUGUACUGAUUGACGUUACCUGAAGAAAAAGCCCCGGCUAACUACGUG